GAUGAACGCUAGCGGCAGGCUUAACACAUGCAAGUCGAGGGGUAUAGUUCUUCGGAGCUAGAGACCGGCGCACGGGUGCGUAACGCGUAUGCAAUCUACCUUUUACAGAGGGAUAGCCCAGAGAAAUUUGGAUUAAUACCUCAUAGUAUGUGAGAAUCGCAUGGUUUUCACAUUAAAGUUCCAACGGUAAAAGAUGAGCAUGCGUCCCAUUAGCUAGAUGGUAAGGUAACGGCUUACCAUGGCGACGAUGGGUAGGGGUCCUGAGAGGGAGAUCCCCCANACUGGUACUGAGACACGGACCAGACUCCUACGGGAGGCAGCAGUGAGGAAUAUUGGACAAUGGGCGCAAGCCUGAUCCAGCCAUGCCGCGUGCAGGAUGACGGUCCUAUGGAUUGUAAACUGCUUUUGACAGGAAGAAACACUCCCUCGUGAGGGAGCUUGACGGUACUGUAAGAUAAGGAUCGGCUAACUCCGUGCCAGCA
Molecule: ribosomal RNA, 482 nt
Filed under: uncultured bacterium
Lineage: Bacteria
Description: bacterial SSU rRNA
Rfam family: Bacterial small subunit ribosomal RNA
Source: RNAcentral